ACGCUGGCGGCACGCCUAACACAUGCAAGUCGAACGAAGUAGCAAUACUUAGUGGCGAACGGGUGAGUAUAAUGUGGGUAUCUGCCUUUUGGUUUGGAAUAACACGAGGAAACUUGUGCUAAUACCGGAUAAGCCUUCACAGGGAAAGUUUUAACGCCAAAAGAUGAGCCUGCACUUGAUUAGCUAGUUGGUAAGGUAAAAGCUUACCAAGGCUACGAUCAAUAGCUGAUCUGAGAGGAUGAUCAGCCACAUUGGGACUGAGACACGGCCCAGACUCCUACGGGAGGCAGCAGUGGGGAAUCUUGCACAAUGGGGGAAACCCUGAUGCAGCGAUGCCGCGUGAGUGAAGAAGGCCCUUGGGUUGUAAAGCUCUUUCGUCGGGGAAGAAAAUGACUGUACCCGAAUAAGAAGGUCCGGCUAACUUCGUGCCAGCAGCCGCGGUAAUACGAAGGGACCUAGCGUAGUUCGGAAUUACUGGGCUUAAAGAGCUCGUAGGUGGUUAGAAAAGUUAGUGGUGAAAUCCCAAGGCUUAACCUUGGAACUGCCACUAAAACUUUUUAACUAGAGUAUGAUAGAGGAAAGUGGAAUUUCUAGUGUAGAGGUGAAAUUCGUAGAUAUUAGAAAGAACACCAAUUGCGAAGGCAACUUUCUGGAUCAUUACUGACACUGAGGAGCGAAAGCAUGGGUAGCGAAGAGGAUUAGAUACCCUCGUAGUCCAUGCUGUAAACGAUGUGUGCUAGACGUUGGAAAUUUAUUUUUCAGUGUCGCAGCAAAAGCGUUAAGCACACCGCCUGGGGAGUACGACCGCAAGGUUAAAACUCAAAUGAAUUGACGGGGACCCGCACAAGUAGUGGAGCAUGUGGUUUAAUUCGAAGAUACGCGCAGAACCUUACCAACACUUGACAUGUUCGUCGCGACUUUAAGAAAUUAAAGUUUUCGGUUCGGCCGGACGAAACACAGGUGCUGCAUGGCUGUCGUCAGCUCGUGUCGUGAGAUGUUGGGUUAAGUCCCGCAACGAGCGCAACCCUUACUUUUAGUUGCUACCAUUUAGUUGGGCACUCUAAAAGAACUGCCAGUGAUAAGCUGGAGGAAGGUGGGGAUGACGUCAAGUCCUCAUGGCCCUUACGUGUUGGGCUACACACGUGCUACAAUGGUACUCACAGAGAGAAGCGAAGAGGCGACUCUAAGCUAAUCCCAAAAAGGUACCUCAGUUCGGAUUGCACUCUGCAACUCGAGUGCAUGAAGCUGGAAUUACUAGUAAUCGCGGAUCAGCGCGCCGCGGUGAAUACGUUCCCGGGUCUUGUACACACCGCCCGUCACACCAUGGAAGUUGGUUACACCUUAAGGCAAAGCGUAAAACCUUUGACUACGGUACGAUCAGCGACUGGGGUGAAGUCGUAACAAGGUAGCCGUAGGGGAACCUGCGGCUGGAUCACCUCCUUUCU
RNAcentral lists this ribosomal RNA (1445 nucleotides) under uncultured marine bacterium. RNAcentral's name for it is "16S ribosomal RNA". It matches the Rfam family "Bacterial small subunit ribosomal RNA". The record is from RNAcentral.